Molecule: ribosomal RNA, 433 nt
Filed under: uncultured Mogibacterium sp.
Lineage: Bacteria; Bacillati; Bacillota; Clostridia; Peptostreptococcales; Anaerovoracaceae
Description: partial 16S ribosomal RNA
Rfam family: Bacterial small subunit ribosomal RNA
Source: RNAcentral
ACGGAAGGCAGCAGUGGGGAAUAUUGCACAAUGGGCGCAAGCCUGAUGCAGCGAUGCCGCGUGAGGGAAGAAGGUUUUCGGAUUGUAAACCUCUGUCAACAGGGACGAAAAUGACGGUACCUGUGAAGGAAGCUCCGGCUAACUACGUGCCAGCAGCCGCGGUAAUACGUAGGGGGCAAGCGUUAUCCGGAAUUAUUGGGCGUAAAGAGUGCGUAGGUGGUUACCUAAGCGCAAGGUUUAAUCUUGAGGCUUAACCUCAUUCUGCCUUGCGAACUGGGCUACUUGAGUGCAGGAGGGGAAAGCGGAAUUCCUAGUGUAGCGGUGAAAUGCGUAGAUAUUAGGAAGAACACCGGUGGCGAAGGCGGCUUUCUGGACUGUAACUGACACUGAGGCACGAAAGCGUGGGGAGCAAACAGGAUUAGAUACCCUGGUA